GAGUUUGAUCCUGGCUCAGAUUGAACGCUGGCGGCAGGCCUAACACAUGCAAGUCGAGCGGAAACGAGUUAACUGAACCUUCGGGGAACGUUAACGGCGUCGAGCGGCGGACGGGUGAGUAAUGCCUGGGAAAUUGCCCUGAUGUGGGGGAUAACCAUUGGAAACGAUGGCUAAUACCGCAUAAUAGCUUCGGCUCAAAGAGGGGGACCUUCGGGCCUCUCGCGUCAGGAUAUGCCCAGGUGGGAUUAGCUAGUUGGUGAGGUAAUGGCUCACCAAGGCGACGAUCCCUAGCUGGUCUGAGAGGAUGAUCAGCCACACUGGAACUGAGACACGGUCCAGACUCCUACGGGAGGCAGCAGUGGGGAAUAUUGCACAAUGGGCGCAAGCCUGAUGCAGCCAUGCCGCGUGUAUGAAGAAGGCCUUCGGGUUGUAAAGUACUUUCAGCAGUGAGGAAGGUGGGUAUGUUAAUAGCAUACUCAUUUGACGUUAGCUGCAGAAGAAGCACCGGCUAACUCCGUGCCAGCAGCCGCGGUAAUACGGAGGGUGCGAGCGUUAAUCGGAAUUACUGGGCGUAAAGCGCAUGCAGGUGGUUUGUUAAGUCAGAUGUGAAAGCCCGGGGCUCAACCUCGGAAUUGCAUUUGAAACUGGCAAACUAGAGUACUGUAGAGGGGGGUAGAAUUUCAGGUGUAGCGGUGAAAUGCGUAAAGAUCUGAAGGAAUACCGGUGGCGAAGGCGGCCCCCUGGACAGAUACUGACACUCAAAUGCAAAGGCGUGGGGAGCAAACAGGAUUAAGAUACCCUGUU
This 804-nucleotide ribosomal RNA is filed under the name uncultured bacterium. RNAcentral describes it as "bacterial SSU rRNA". It matches the Rfam family "Bacterial small subunit ribosomal RNA", at positions 9 to 791 of the family's 1533-position model. The record is from RNAcentral.